RNAcentral lists this long non-coding RNA (1198 nucleotides) under Mytilus galloprovincialis (Mediterranean mussel). Lineage: Eukaryota; Metazoa; Mollusca; Bivalvia; Mytilida; Mytilidae. The record is from RNAcentral.
UAAUUGUUUAUUUAAUUUGUUAACUAGUCUCAGAUUUUAUUUGUUAGUUUUUUUAAGACCGCUAAAAUUUGCAGCCAUAUAAUGGUAUGGCAAUGUUGUCUUCGUCUGUAAAAAUUGGGUUUACAGUCAAUAACUUGAGAAUGAAAUUGUACCAAAAUGUUCCAUACCAAAAAAGGAAGAUUGGGUUUAUUUUAGGGAUAACUGCCCAAAGUGUUUAAGAUUGUACCACAAGAUUCAAUAACACAAAAGGAAGGUUGGAUUUAAAUGUUUUCAAAUGGGCCCAAUUUGGGUUCUAAAUAAAACUUUGAUUAAGUUCAAUAUACUACAUCUGAUAAUGUAUUUGAAUUUAGGAUUUUGAGACCAUUUAUUAAAUUUGGUCCAAAUCAGGGUUCAAAGGGUGUAAAAUUAAACCAUGUUUGAUUUUAACAAAAAUUGAAUGGAAGGGAUUUGUAUAUUACAUUUCUUUAUUAAUUUACCAGAUUUAACAAUAUUGAAAAUUGCAAUGAAUAUAAGGACUGAUUAUGAACAUGACACAAUGCAGAUUUCUGUUAGCAGCUUUAUAAUUAUAUCUAUUUAUAUCUGUAAGUCUCUUUUAUAGUAUGUUUUUAUUUAGGUUUUGCUAUUCCAUUGUAAGCUUGACAUAUCUUGUAGGAACAAUAGAUCUCAGAUAAACCUCUCCACUGUUAUUGUGCUGUAUGAAGCAUGUAAAAGUCAUAAUCUUCAAAAUUUAAUGUGCCAUAUUCAAAUAUAAAUAAAUAUAAUAGUUUUACAUGAUUCAAUUGUCUAAGUUAUUUUACCUUUUGAAUAACUUGAAAUUUAAAGCUUACAAGAUAUUCUUUUUUUCAAGUUUAAUGUCAUUUUUGAUUAAUUAGUGCUGUAAUUUUAUGAAAUUUUAGCUAUCUUGUUUAAUAGAUGGAUUCAGGACAAAGCAGAGCAUUGAUAUAUAGCACUAGAAAGCACAAAUGCUUAUCUAAGGUGUAAAUUAUAGAUUUAUGGUCAGUUGGACUUUCAAAUGACUGAUUAAAAUUGUUGAUGCAAUUAGCCUCCAUUUGGGGGGAAAUUGUUUUAUUUUACAACAUUUACCAUAUUUAAGAUAAUUUUAUGUACUAGUUGUUUUAUUUUGUAUUUUCCAAAUGUUUUUCUUGAUUUUCUGAUUGUUGAUCAUAAAAUAAAUGAAAAUAUUUGCUAUGCUUAAAUA